GCAUUUAUCAUCAGUAGUUAACAUAUUGUGUUGUACAGUUCAUAGACAAUGACCAAAGACUGGCUAGCUCAGUGAUAAAGGGACUAUUGAAGUACUGGCCAGUGACAAAUAGGCAAAAGGAGCUCAUGUUCAUCAGUGAGUUGGAAGAGAUUUUGGAAAUGACUAGCAUGGCUGAGUUUCAGAAGAUCAUGGUCCCAUUGUUCCGACGAAUGGCUUUCUGCCUCAAUAGUUCUCAUUAUCAGGUGGCUGAAAGAGCACAUUUGCUAUGGAACAAUGAGCACAUUCUGAAUUUGAUAACGCAAAACUGACAGGUGAUUCUGCCUCUAGUGUUGUCAGCAAUUGUACAUGAUGGUCAAAGUCAUUGGAACCAAGCAGUGCUGAACCUGACUCAGAACAUAAGGAAGAUGUUGUCUCAGAUGGACGAGGAGCUGGUAGCUGCAUGCCAAUGCAGGAUUGAGGAGGAAGAUUCAAGUGCAAGUGAUGCAGCUGAGAGGAGAAGAGUAACAUGGGAAAGGCUAGAAGCUACUGCUGCUAAUUGUGUCCCAAUUCAAUCUACUACUUCUGUAGGUGGAGCUGGAGAUGUUUUAGUCCCAGUAAAAUCUGCUACAUGCUCAGUGGCAUGCUAAGCUAAUUAAUUGGUUUGAGUAAUGAUGUAAGGUUAAGGUGGUUCUAAUUACUAUUACUAUUACACAAUAGUGGUGUGGUUAUUGAGUUUUUAUUUGUAUACAAAUACUAGCCUCAAAAAGAAAAUGAAAUUGUGGUGACUUGAGGGGUCUUUGUUUGACAAAGAAAGUGUUUUCAAAGUGGUGGUGAGUAGGUGAUAGUGUUAUUUAAUUUAUUUUUGGUUUGAA
This is a long non-coding RNA of Glycine soja, 851 nucleotides long. RefSeq lists it as uncharacterized. The record is from RefSeq and is a predicted model, not a curated record. The transcript has 2 exons. Lineage: Eukaryota; Viridiplantae; Streptophyta; Magnoliopsida; Fabales; Fabaceae.